UGGGGAAUAUUGGACAAUGGGCGAAAGCCUGAUCCAGCCAUGCCGCGUGAGUGACGAAGGCCUUAGGGUUGUAAAACUCUUUCGUCGGGGACGAUAAUGACGGUACCCGAAGAAGAAGCUCCGGCUAACUUCGUGCCAGCAGCCGCGGUAAUACGAAGGGAGCUAGCGUUGUUCGGAAUCACUGGGCGUAAAGCGCACGUAGGCGGAUAGUUAAGUCAGGGGUGAAAUCCUGGGGCUCAACCCCAGAACUGCCUUUGAUACUGGCUGUCUCGAGGUCGAGAGAGGUUGGUGGAAUUCCUAGUGUAGAGGUGAAAUUCGUAGAUAUUAGGAAGAACACCAGUGGCGAGGGCGGCCAACUGGCUCGAUACUGACGCUGAGGUACGAAAGCGUGGGGAGCAAACAGGAUUAGAUACCCUCGUAGUCCCUGAGCGGGCUGGCAAGGCGCAU
This 447-nucleotide ribosomal RNA is filed under the name uncultured bacterium. Its description in RNAcentral is "bacterial SSU rRNA". It matches the Rfam family "Bacterial small subunit ribosomal RNA", at positions 355 to 825 of the family's 1533-position model. The record is from RNAcentral.